CACGCCGUAAACGAUGGAUACUAGGUGUAGGUGGUAACACGCCAUCUGUGCCGGAGUUAACACAUUAAGUAUCCCACCUGGGGAGUACGACCGCAAGGUUAAAACUCAAAGGAAUUGACGGGGGCCCGCACAAGCAGUGGAGUAUGUGGUUUAAUUCGAAGCAACGCGAAGAACCUUACCAGGGCUUGACAUCCCUCGAAUAUUGUUGAGAAGCAAUAGUCCUUCGGGACGAGGAGACAGGUGG
RNAcentral lists this ribosomal RNA (244 nucleotides) under uncultured Oscillospiraceae bacterium. RNAcentral's name for it is "partial 16S ribosomal RNA". It matches the Rfam family "Bacterial small subunit ribosomal RNA", at positions 796 to 1041 of the family's 1533-position model. Lineage: Bacteria; Bacillati; Bacillota; Clostridia; Eubacteriales; Oscillospiraceae. The record is from RNAcentral.